CGUACUGGCAUUGUUGGUUUCUCCCUUCUGACGAACCAUGAUGUCAUUUAUUUGGUGUUGUGGGGAAUCAGGACUGUUACUUUGAAAAAAUUAGAGUGUUUAAAGCAGGCUCACGCUUGAAUACAUUAGCAUGGAAUAAUGAGAUAGGACGUUUGAUUCUAUUUUGUUGGUUUCUAGGAUCGACGUAAUGAUUAAUAGGGAUAGUUGGGGGCAUUAGUAUUCAAUUGUCAGAGGUGAAAUUCUUGGAUUUAUUGAAGACUAACUACUGCGAAAGCAUUUGCCAGGGAUGUUUUCAUUAAUCAAGAACGAAAGUUAGGGGAUCGAAGACGAUCAGAUACCGUCGUAGUCUUAACCAUAAACUAUGCCGACUAGGGAUCGGAUGAUGUUAAUUUUUUAAUGACUCAUUCGGUGCCUUACG
Molecule: ribosomal RNA, 418 nt
Filed under: uncultured Glomeromycotina
Lineage: Eukaryota; Fungi; Glomeromycota
Description: SSU rRNA
Rfam family: Eukaryotic small subunit ribosomal RNA
Source: RNAcentral